Clupea harengus (Atlantic herring) is the source of this 1236-nucleotide long non-coding RNA. The record is from Ensembl. NCBI's taxonomy places the organism in Eukaryota, Metazoa, Chordata, Actinopteri, Clupeiformes, Clupeidae.
CCUACAUUUGUGAAAGGAGGCUGAUCCGGGAUGAUGCGAUCCAAUGGCAGAUCAGCCAUCUUUUGCUCUCCAGUCCUACUGUUCAGCCGUCUGCAGACUGUGCAUCUUGAAAUGAUACCUCUGAUCAAUGAGCUUGCUUGAGGUAUCCAAUACUUUGUGCGCAGCUUAGAUAACAUAUAGUUGCGCCCACAAUGUCCAAUUUGUUUAUGGAUAUGUUGCAGGAUAAGAGCAGCCACUGGUGACCCUUUGGAAAGAAUUGCAGGGUGCUUUGUCUCCUCUGGCAAUGACAACCUAGAGAGUCGUCCACCCACUCUUACGAUUCCAUCCUUCAGCAAGGGAUCCAAUUUGUAGAUUGGGCUGUUCUUCUUCACAUAUCCCUUUGUUUGAAGAGCCAUGAUUUCCUCUGGGUAAGUCUGAAUCUGGCAAACCCGUAUGAUUUCUCUAGUGUAGCCUUUUCAGUAGGCUUUGGCUCCCUCUUGUGGCUAACAUCAUCGGGUGUCGGUACACUUCCAGAAAGUUCUGCCAUCUUCAUUAAUCAAUGCAAAUUCACUAACAAAUGUCUCCAAAAUAGUCUUCCGACAGCAAAUGUUAAUGUCUCAAUGGUUUCUUCAAAUCGCAAUGAUUAUCAAGAAUUAGAUGAUUCCAAACUUCAGUAUGUUAACCAAACACUUCGAUUUUGCUGUAUGACUCAGCACUUCCAGUAGCAAUAACCAGUCAUGUUAGCUAGCACAGGAUAGCAAUAACCGCUAAUGCUAACGUUAGCACAGGAUAGCUUCAGCUUUAGCUCACCUUUUCCAACUUCUUUUCAAACCUUGAAGCUGAUUUCCACUUUCACUCUUCGAGCUAUCUUAUUCUUGCUCCAAAUCUGGGUUUUCUGUUUGUCUUCUUCCAGUGAAGCAAGUUUUUCUGACUUUAUGUAAGUGGCACUCUGUCUUAGUUCCAUAUGCCACUAAUGGAGCAGGCUUCUAGCAACCAGUGUGAACGCGACAAAAAAUCCAAACUUCCAAAAUUCUUCCUUUUAAAUUUUUACUGACAAAAACGUAACGUACAAACAAAACAUGAACUCUUUGGGUCUUAAUAACAGUAAAUCGGUGCAUUGGUAUUGUCGGUCAGAAAAACUGUGUUGCUCCUUAACCUGACCAUCUCAAACUAAACAAGCACAAGUUGGUCACAUGACCACCGUUCUCUCCUGAUUCUAAACAUUCUUUUAACCAAUCAAGGUACUUUACAGCUAUG